This 504-nucleotide ribosomal RNA is filed under the name uncultured bacterium. RNAcentral's name for it is "bacterial SSU rRNA". It matches the Rfam family "Bacterial small subunit ribosomal RNA", at positions 28 to 524 of the family's 1533-position model. The record is from RNAcentral.
GACGAACGCUGGCGGCGUGCUUAACACAUGCAAGUCGAGCGAGGCUCCUCCUUCGGGGAGGAUGCCCUAGCGGCGAACGGGUGAGUAACACGUGGGCAACCUGCCCCUAGCACUGGGAUAACCCCGGGAAACCGGAGCUAAUACCGGAUACGACCACAGUUGGCAUCAACAUGUGGUGGAAAGAUUUAUCGGCUAGGGAUGGGCCCGCGGCCUAUCAGCUUGUUGGUGGGGUAGUGGCCCACCAAGGCGACGACGGGUAGCCGGCCUGAGAGGGCGACCGGCCACACUGGGACUGAGACACGGCCCAGACUCCUACGGGAGGCAGCAGUGGGGAAUAUUGCUCAAUGGGCGAAAGCCUGAAGCAGCGACGCCGCGUGAGGGAUGAAGGUCUUCGGAUUGUAAACCUCUGUCACCGGGGAAGAAACGCUUUGAGUUAAUAGUUCAAAGCCUGACUUAACCCGGAGAGGAAGCAGUGGCUAACUCUGUGCCAGCCGCCGCGGUAAC